CNAGNAUNUUUNUAGUGAAACUGCGAAUGGCUCAUUAAAUCAGUUAUCGUUUAUUUGAUAGUUCCUUUACUACAUGGUAUAACUGUGGUAAUUCUAGAGCUAAUACAUGCUUAAAAUCUCGACCCUUUGGAAGAGAUGUAUUUAUUAGAUAAAAAAUCAAUGUCUUCGGACUCUUUGAUGAUUCAUAAUAACUUUUCGAAUCGCAUGGCCUUGUGCUGGCGAUGGUUCAUUCAAAUUUCUGCCCUAUCAACUUUCGAUGGUAGGAUAGUGGCCUACCAUGGUUUCAACGGGUANCGGGGAANGAGAAUACGACGGUAGUAUAGAGGACUACCGUGGUUACAACGGGUAACGGGGCAGCGACNAUUCAUUCGNUUUCUGCCCCUUCAACUCUCGAUGGUAGGAUAGAGGGCUAGCAUGGUCUCAACGGGUAACGGGGANAUUUNCUUCCGGGGUCGAGAUUUUNUGCAUGUAUCGGCUCUAGAAUAAUUUUGUUNUAGCAUGUAGUUUAGGAACUAUGUAAUNAUCGAUNACUGAUUNGAUGAGCCAUUCGCAGUUGACUGUACUANAUGCCUAUUUAGACNUGUUUGGUUUNUCUNUGAGACANGNAUNUGACUACA
Molecule: ribosomal RNA, 617 nt
Filed under: uncultured fungus
Lineage: Eukaryota; Fungi
Description: partial 18S ribosomal RNA
Rfam family: Eukaryotic small subunit ribosomal RNA (bases 1-318)
Source: RNAcentral